UCUACGGGAGGCAGCAGUGGGGAAUAUUGGGCAAUGGACGCAAGUCUGACCCAGCAACGCCGCGUGAAUGAAGAAGGCUUUCGGGUUGUACACUUCUUUUAAGGGGGAAGAGCAUAAGACGGUAUCCCUUGAAUAAGCCACGGCUAACCACGAGCCAGCAGCCGCGGUAACACGGAGGUGGCAAGCGUUGUCCGGAUUUACUGGGUGUAAAGGGCGUGCAGGCGGAGGUACAAGUCAGAGUUGAAAUCCACGGGCUCAACUCGUGAACGGCAUGUGACACUGUUUCCCUUGAGUAUCGGAGAGGUAAUCGGAAUUCCUGGUGUAGCGGUGAAAUGCGUAGAUAUAAGGAGGAACACCAGUGGCGAAGGCGGAUUACUGGACGAUAACUGACGGUGAGGCGCGAAAGCGUGGGGAGCAAACAGGAUUAGAUACCCGGGUAGUC
RNAcentral lists this ribosomal RNA (442 nucleotides) under uncultured bacterium. RNAcentral's name for it is "partial 16S ribosomal RNA". It matches the Rfam family "Bacterial small subunit ribosomal RNA", at positions 338 to 795 of the family's 1533-position model. The record is from RNAcentral.